This 337-nucleotide unclassified non-coding RNA is filed under the name soil metagenome. RNAcentral's name for it is "partial contains 5.8S ribosomal RNA, internal transcribed spacer 2, and large subunit ribosomal RNA". The stretch from base 1 to 120 matches the Rfam family "5.8S ribosomal RNA", at positions 35 to 154 of the family's 154-position model. The record is from RNAcentral.
GAUGAAGAACGUAGCGAAAUGCGAUAAGUAGUGUGAAUUGCAGAAUUCAGUGAAUCAUCGAAUCUUUGAACGCACAUUGCGCCCCAUGGUAUUCCGUGGGGCAUGCCUGUUCGAGCGUCAUUUACCCCCUCAAGCUCCGCUUGGUGUUGGGCGUCUGUCCAGCUUCGCGCGCGGACUCGCCCCAAAGGUAUUGGCAGCGGUCGUGCCAGCUUCUCGCGCAGCACAUUGCGCUUCUCGAGGCACCGGUGGGCCCGCGUCCAUCAAGCUCACCCCCCCAGUUUGACCUCGGAUCAGGUAGGGAUACCCGCUGAACUUAAGCAUAUCAAUAAGCGGAGGA